Molecule: ribosomal RNA, 845 nt
Filed under: Cantharellopsis prescotii
Lineage: Eukaryota; Fungi; Basidiomycota; Agaricomycetes; Hymenochaetales; Rickenellaceae
Description: LSU rRNA
Rfam family: Eukaryotic large subunit ribosomal RNA
Source: RNAcentral
UUCCCCUAGUAACUGCGAGUGAAGCGGGAAAAGCUCAAAUUUAAAAUCUGGCAGUUUAGGCUGUCCGAGUUGUAAUCUGGAGAAGUGUUUUCCGUGUUGGACCGUGCAAAAGUCUCUUGGAAUAGAGCAUCAUAGAGGGUGAGAAUCCCGUCUUUGGCAYGGACUACCAAUGCUUUGUGAUACGCUCUCAAAGAGUCGAGUUGUUUGGGAAUGCAGCUCAAAAUGGGUGGUAAAUUCCAUCUAAAGCUAAAUAUUGGCGAGAGACCGAUAGCGAACAAGUACCGUGAGGGAAAGAUGAAAAGCACUUUGGAAAGAGAGUUAAACAGUACGUGAAAUUGUUGAAAGGGAAACGCUUGAAGUCAGUCGCGUCGUCCGGGACUCAGCCUUGCUUCUGCUUGGUGUAUUUCCCGGUUGACGGGCCAACAUCGAUUUUUGCUGGUGGAAAAAGGUGGGGGGGAAUGUGGCACCUUUUGGUGUGUUAUAGCCCCUCAUUGUAUGCAUCAGCGGGGAUCGAGGACCGCAGCACGCCCUUGUGGCCGGGGUUCGCCCACGUAACGUGCUUAGGAUGUUGGCAUAAUGGCUUUAAUCGACCCGUCUUGAAACACGGACCAAGGAGUCUAACAUGCCUGCGAGUGUUAGGGUGAUAAACCCUUGCGCGUAAUGAAAGUGAAAGUUGGGAUCCUUGUCAUGGGGAGCACCGACGCCCGGCCUUGAACUUCUGUGACGGCGCCGCGGUGGAGCAUGUAUGUUGGGACCCGAAAGAUGGUGAACUAUGCCUGAAUAGGGUGAAGCCAGAGGAAACUCUGGUGGAGGCUSGUAGCGAUUCUGACGUGCAAAUCGAUCGU